Molecule: long non-coding RNA, 990 nt
Filed under: Mytilus galloprovincialis (Mediterranean mussel)
Lineage: Eukaryota; Metazoa; Mollusca; Bivalvia; Mytilida; Mytilidae
Source: RNAcentral
UUAAAUACAUCAAUAACACAAGAAGAAAACAAGUCAUAUUCAUAGUAAAAAUCUGUUUUUUUGCUUUCUACCUAAAUCCAACAAAGAAAGAACAAAAAAAGAAAAAAAACAACAGAAUAAAUAAUGUCUUUGUAAUCUUUUAUCAAAAUGGUAGAAAAUCUAGUUUCAGAAGUUUCCAUUGUAAUGGUAGAUUAUAAACUUGUUUACAUUAUAUAAUGUGACAGAAUCUAUAACAGGACGGACAUACUAACAAAUAAAAAUUGGAUGCACAGACAGACAGACCUGACCAUAAUGGCCCUUACAUUACAUUAAAUGUAUGCAUAAGGCUUAACUUGAAUUAAUAAAAUGGAAAUCUAUUUUAUAAGUUUAUCAAUAAUUUACAAAUGCACUUCUGGUAUAUACAUUUCUAAAUAAAAAACUCAGAAAUCAAUUAAAGCAUUUAGUUCAUUGCGUUUAGUUGCCAUGACAGAGGAUAAAACUGACUAGAACAUCACCUGUAAGAAUAUGAACCCUAUUUGUUUUUUAACCUUAAUGACAAAUUAUGUAAGCUGAACCAAAAACUGUAAUUCAGAAAUUUGUUCUUUCAUUUAUUAUAUAUGAUUGAUUGUUGAACAAUAUUCAAGAACGAGAGAUUAAUUAUUGCAAUUUCUGAAAAUGUGACAUUCAAAUAAUGCUGUUUUAAGUUUAAAAUGUGAGGUUAUCCCGUCACAACUUCCACACUUGAACAAAAAAAAUCACAAAUAGUUCUAAAUUUCCCCUAUGAAUAAUUACAAAUAUUCAUACGGCUUAAAAAAUGACCAUUUCUACUGCUAUUUGAAAAAAAUCAAAAAAUUAUUUAUCAAAAAAUGAAUUGAUUUCUGAAUCAGUAUAAAAUUAAGAAGCAAUUGAUAUCAUGCAGUAAUUAGGUAAUUCUAUUCUUCCAUUCCACUUAUAACAAUCUACUUAUACUGAAUGUAAUUUCAUAAAUAUUUACAACCUUAUAAAAUAAAU